GCAAAGCCCAAACUUUUUAUUUCAAUCUCAUGCACCAAUUUAUCACAGUGCAUUUGUUACAGACAACACAUGAAUAUCGAGACAAUUUUUUAUUUCUGUCAGCCCUCCUUUGGUCAUUUACUUCAUUCUUUGGCAUAAACUACCCCAGAUUUUAGCUUUUCCACUCAGCAGUUCCUUUCCUCAGACUUGCAGUCACCUCCUGAAGGCUUUUGGUGGAGAUCCAGACUCAAGACUACGUUCCCCGAGGAGAAACCAAUUCAGGAGACCCCCUUUACCUCACAAGUGCAACAAGGGGUUUUUUUACUUCAGCAUUUUAUACCUUUUUUUUCCUUCCCGGGCGCACCUCCAGCGCUGGCAGCCUGCCGGGCGCCGCCGUUCUCCUCAGCGCGCUCCCCCUCACACGAGCGUCCCCAUCACACCCACAGCCAAAUCCUCCUACAUUUUGCAGCAAUCCUGCACAGACUGCAUUGAGCAACUUUUCCAGCAGCAGCCUCCUCAUUACAAAGCCGUUCUUUUUAGCCCCCUGCGAAAAAAACCGUGUGUUUCACUGGAUCCGGGAAACGGCAGCAGUGUGAGAAGGAAGCAGGGCUUUGGGCAGAGGCAGAAUGCUCCGAUAGUUUUUAUUACACACAGCCCCGAACCUGAGAAUAGUCUCGUGCAGUGCGUUAACUGAGGAAAGCGCUGAGGAAACUGAGGAAAGCUCUCGGGGAGCUGCCGCUGCCCUCAGGAGAAGCCCCCUUGCCCUCAGCGAGGCAGCCAAGAAAGCGGCCGGAGAACAGCUCUCAAAGCCCCGCCAGACGCAAGUCCUCCUCAGCAGGCUCCCUUGUUACCUGCAGGCUAGGGCUUUACAGAAGGGGAAGAAAAAAAGAAGGAAAAAAAAAAAAAGAAAAAAGAAAGAGAGUGAGAUAGAGAAAAGUGACCUUCUCAAGAUGGCGGCCGAAGCCAGGCUCGCCCCGCCUCCCCGCCCGCUUGUCCCUUCUCAAGAUGGCGGCGCGGAAGGGCCGGCGGCGGCGCGGAGUGCGCCUGCGCAACGCGGCCCGGAGUGCAGCGAAAUUCCUGGCGGGCGGGGGGAGGAGGAGGAGGGCGGCUGGGAGCCACGGCCGCUCGCCCCUGGCAGGGACCCUGCGUGCUGUGGCGGCGGCCGGCGCCGAGCCAGACCCCCGGGGGGCGCCGUGCGGGCGGGCUGAGGGCCACUCGCCGCCUCCUCGGGCGCUCGCAGCACCGGGAGCCGCGCCGUCCCCGGGACUCCCUCCCCGGGCGGAGAGGGGGAGAAUGACGGAGCUCCAGUCCGCCCUGUUACUGCGGAGGCAACUGGCAGACCCGCUUUCCUGCGCACAUCCUUGGAAGGCUGUGCAGGUGUAGCUGAGGAGACAGCAAGAGGAGCACAAUUUGCAGCUGUGGAGCGUUGUGUUGGGCUGAUGCCCUGAGCAGCUUGUGUGUUGAUGCUAAAAACGUACCCUCCCGACAAAUUCUGUGAUGCCAGGGGAAUCAUAGAAUCAUAGAAUCAUAGAAUAUCCUGAGUUGGAAGGGACCCUUAAGGAUCAUCAAGUCCAACUCUUGACACCGCACAGGUCUACCCAAGUUCAGACCAUGACCAUGGGGAGACCUAGGGCUGUGUGAUGCUGCCCUCCUCAACAGGGGAUAGCACGUGGAGGGCUGCUAAUCAGUUGCCAGGCUGAAGUUAAGAGCCAAAUCUAGAGUUGCUGCUGAACUGGUUGAUAGAGAUCUCUCCUUAGGGCAGGUUUGUAUUUACUGCUUCGGUCUUGAUGCAAAAUAAAUUAAAAUGUCCUUCUGAGAACAAAACUGUUCUGUCCUAACUGCUUGGUUUGUCACUGCCGGAGUGGCAGGCAGGAAUGCUGUGCAUCAUGUGCUAUGUUUUGACUGAACUUCUUGGAUGAGCUCGUGGAGCAAGACAGAACAUGAUGAAAGCAGAUAAUAUGGAGAGCUCUGGGAGCAGGUCUGUGUGAGGAGAUCGUGUUACUUCAGCAGUAUCCAGCACUCAUCUUCUAGAUUCAAAGCCUUGCAGCUGCGUACGUAGGCAGAAGGAAGAGUCUUGGAAAUCCUACCUGACCUCGGUUCAUCUAACCAUGGAAGUCACAGCGUGGGGUAUGGAGGAGAGGAGCCUGGAAGGAGGGGGUUCAGGCUCACCAGCUGUUUUUAGAAGCUCCUGGACUCACAAAAGACACCCAAGAAAAUCCAAGCCUAAUCUGUAGCAAAUGUAGGUCUCUGGUACAGCCCGUACCUGCCUGAGCAGGGACUGGCUGAGGGCGACGGCUUCUCCAGCAGCCUCAGCUGGGACUUGGGCUGUCCUCAUUUUGUUCCUGCUUUGGCCUCAGUCCCCUGGCAGCACAAACCUCAACCACUGUGCAGCUCGCUGAAGAGGCUGCUGUUUAAAAAUACUGUAGAAGCUUGUACUUCUGCAAGCUUUGUUCGGUGGUGUAACUUAACCUCGGCGGUGUUGGUGUGCAGCGGUUGGCAGCCGGAGCGUCAGGCUGAAACGCUGGGAUGCCGCACAUAGCUGCUGCCUGCAGCCACGGGGCUCUUUCUGCUUAGUCACUUCUGUUGACGCUGUUGCUUUUGGAUUUCUAAAAGUCUCCUGGUUUCAAUAAAUGCAGUUUUAGCGAGUGUGGAAACAUCAGUAGCUUGGUGUAAACUGAACACACGCUGGCAGCACGGCGUAAGGAAUGGCAUCGGCUCCAGCUUAGGGCGAUGGGAUCUGGUUCGGAGCUAAACCACUGCAGGAGCACCGGGGAGCUGGCAGGCGGUGUGGGAAGCCAGGCGCUGGGCAUUAAAGCCUCUUCUGGACUUAAACAACUCUGUCAUGGGCCUGCCGGCGUCUCCCAAAACAGGUAUUGAUUCAGGACCGGGACUAAAGGAACCGACAGCCUGAUUUAUGAGCAGCCACGGGAUUCUUCUCCCUGCGCGUUGCUGCCUGGCAGCUGCCCAGCCUGGUGUGCGCUGGCUGUCAGCUGUGGCUCGAGCUGCUGAGGACUCUACCUGAGGGUGCUUCCAGAGGGAAU
This 3020-nucleotide long non-coding RNA is filed under the name Anas zonorhyncha (Eastern spot-billed duck). RNAcentral's name for it is "lncRNA (ENSAZOG00000005138.1)". The record is from RNAcentral. Lineage: Eukaryota; Metazoa; Chordata; Aves; Anseriformes; Anatidae.